GUCGUGAGAUGUUGGGUUAAGUCCCGCAACGAGCGCAACCCUUGUCAUUAGUUGCUACAUUCAGUUGGGCACUCUAAUGAGACUGCCGGUGACAAACCGGAGGAAGGUGGGGAUGACGUCAAGUCCUCAUGGCCCUUAUGGGUAGGGCUUCACACGUAAUACAAUGGCGCGUACAGAGGGUUGCCAAGGGGUGACCUGGAGCCAAUCCCACUAAAGCGCGUCGUAGUCCGGAUUGCAGUCUGCAACUCGACUGCAUGAAGUCAGAAUCGCUAGUAAUCGCGGAUCAGCAUGUCGCGGUGAAUACGUUCCCGGGUCUUGUACACACCGCCCGUCACACCAUGGGAGUGGGUUUCACCAGAAGCCGGUCGCCUAACCGCAAGGAGGGCGCCGACCACGGUGAGAUUCAUGACUGGGGUGAAGUCGUAACAAGGUAGCCGUAUCGGAAGGUGCGGCUGGAUCACCUCCUUUCUAAGACAAGGCACCUCUCAGUGCCCACCAUCUAUCGGCUGUUCUUCGCGAAGAGCGCAUGAAGCGUUUCGGCCUUACGGGUCUGUAGCUCAGUUGGUUAGAGCACCGUCUUGAUAAGGCGGGGGUCGAUGGUUCGAAUCCAUCCAGACCCACCAACGAAAACGCGCGCUCUUUAACAAUCUGGAUGAAGGUAGUUGUCUCGAUGAAAGUCGCGUUGUGAUGACGCGAUGAGUAGGCGGGACACUGGGUUAUGUAUUGCAUCGUGUCUCCAUGACCAACCAUCGUGGAGGCGCACAAGCGCGAGAGUUAUCCUGUAAUCGAGUGCGCGAGUGACUUUGACUCGCGUGGCCCUGGCUGGAUGGGGGCGGCAAGGUUAUAGGGUCAAGCGAAUAAGUGCAUGUGGUGGAUGCCUUGGCAAUGAUAGGCGAUGAAGGACGUGACAGCCUGCGAUAAGCAGCGGGGAGCCGGCAAAUGGGCUUUGAUCCGCUGAUUU
This 961-nucleotide small RNA is filed under the name uncultured beta proteobacterium. RNAcentral's name for it is "bacterial SSU rRNA". The stretch from base 1 to 468 matches the Rfam family "Bacterial small subunit ribosomal RNA", at positions 1064 to 1533 of the family's 1533-position model. The record is from RNAcentral. Lineage: Bacteria; Pseudomonadati; Pseudomonadota; Betaproteobacteria.